AGGGGGUAGGGCCCUGUGGGGGCCGCCGGCUGCAUUUCUACCGCCGUAGAGGUCAUUCCUGCGCUUCUGGGGCACCGGAGAACGGGAUUGGUGGCACUCCCGCCCCAGGGCCCCGCUUCCAAGACCCCAAGUCCCCAGGACCUGCGCUCCCGGCCCCGCCUUCUAACAGGCCCGCCCUCCCCCACGCCCGGCCUCCCGAGGGCCCGUCCCCCUCAGAACACCGCUUUUGAGACCCCAGGGCCCCGCCUCCGAUAAGCCCGCCGCUCCGGUACUCCGGCCCACGGCCCCGCCUCCCCCAGGGCCGGGUUGGCAGAGGCCCCGGGUUUCAGGCCUUUGGCUCCCGCAUGCCUCCUCUCUCUGGCCGUCUUGCUCUGGGUCUGUGUCCGCGCCGCCUCCUUUCCUUCCUUCCUCGCUCAGAUCUCCCUCUGUUCGCCUUUCCCUCCGCUAGGCCUUCUGCCCUGCCUCGCCCCACGCUUCGGCGACCCCUGUCCAACGUCUCUGCCACCACCCUAAGCCUCCGACUCUGCUCUUCGGCCAGGGUCUUUUGGAGCUUCAGUCGGGCCCUGACACUUCCUUACACCUCGACGCGGCCCAGGCGGGGGCUCUCCGGCCUGCGGCCUUGCUCCUGCGGGCCUUCGGCCUCGCCCCCUCACUCGCAGCUGUUCCUCGAGCUCUGGCUAGGAUGGGCCCCUGGGGGCGGCUGGGCCAUGAGGACCGCACUCGUGUACCAUGAGGAAAUGACAGCCGCCCGGCUGCUCUGGGAAGACCCUGAGUGUGAGAUCGAGCGUCCCGAGCGCCUGACCGCAGCCCUUGAGCGCCUGCAGCAGGGGGGCCUGGAGCAGAGGUGUCUACAGUUGGCAGCUCGAGAGGCCUCAGAGGCAGAGCUGGGCCUGGUACACAGGUCAGAUCCCGGGGAGCCACCUCCCAGAGGAGGCCGCCUGGCACGUGGGGCCGCCCAGCCUGCCCGCAUCUUGAAAACAGAGCAUCUCCCCUACCUGCCUCAGUUUCACCACUGGGUGGGUGGGGGAGGGAACCGUGAGGUGGGCGGUCCCACCAGCGCACGGCCCCUCCUUCUCCCCUUCCUGCUCCUGCUGGUGACCCUGCCUUGCCUGCCUGCCCCUCUGCAGCCCAGAGUAUGUGUCCCUGUUGCGAGGAACCCAGGCCUUGGGCACGGAGGAACUACGGGCGCUGUCUGGGCAGUACGAUGCUGUCUACUUCCACCCGAGUACCUUCCACUGUGCCCGGCUGGCCGCAGGCGCCGCGCUGCAGCUGGUGGAUGCUGUGCUGACAGGAGCCGCGCACAAUGGGCUUGCCCUGUUUUCACCCGCAGACCUCCGGGGCAUCACAGCCAGAGGGCUGCUGCCAACGGGUUCUGCGUGUUCAACAAUGUGGCCAUAGCGGCCAAACACGCCCAGCAGAAACACGGUCUGCAAAGGAUCCUCAUUGUCGACUGGGAUGUCCACCAUGGUCAGGGCAUCCAGUAUAUCUUUGAGGAUGAUCCCAGUGUUCUUUACUUCUCCUGGCACCGCUAUGAGCAUGGUUGCUUUUGGCCUUAUCUUCAAGAGUCAGAUGCAGAUGCUGUUGGGCUGGGGCAGGGCCGUGGCUUCACUGUCAACCUGCCCUGGAACCAGGUUGGGAUGGGAAAUGCUGACUAUAUGGCUGCCUUCCUGCAUGUGCUGCUCCCUGUGGCGUUUGAGUUUGACCCUGAGCUGGUGCUCGUCUCGGCAGGAUUUGACUCAGCAGUUGGGGAUCCUGAGGGGCAGAUGCAGGCCACGCCUGAGUGCUUCGCCCACCUCACGCAGCUGCUGCAGGUGCUGGCCGGCGGCCGGGUCUGUGCUGUGCUGGAGGGAGGCUACCACCUGGAGUCGCUGUCCCAGUCGGUGUGCAUGGUGGUGAAGGCGCUGCUGGGUGACCCUGCCCCGCCCCUGUCGGGGUCCAUGGUGCCUCGGCACAGUGCUCUGGAGUCCAUCCAGAGUGUCCGGGCAGCCCAGGCCCCUCACUGGACUAGCCUUCAGCAGCAAGGGCCGGCCCGCCUACUGAACCCCAGCACCUGCUCCCCAGAGGGGAGACGCCCACCUGUGUCGCCUGGGGGGCCCGGAUUCAAGGCAGCGGAGGCCCAGGGCUCGGCUGUACCGAGGUCCCUCCUGGACCAGCUGCACCUCUACCCCACACCCCCUGCCCGCACGGCUGCCGCCCUGAUGGCCCAGGAUGCUGCUCUGGUCCUACCGCCUGAUGUCCUCCGUCCAGAGGGGUCAGCCCCACAGGAGGAGACACAGGCCUGGGCCAGGCUACAUGAGGCCCUGGCCCAGGACACAGCUUUCAUUGCACUUGGAAAGGUCCUGCAUCUAUUGAACGGGAUCCUGGAUGGACAGGUGAGCAGUGGCAUCGCAACAACCCCAGCUGCGGCGGCCACCCUGGAGGUGGCCAUUCGGCGCGGCUUGUCCCACAGAGCCCAGAGGGUGCUCUGUGUGGCUGUGGGACAGCUGGAUCGGCCCCCAGACCUUGCCAGUGAUGGCCUUCCAUGUGUGCCCACGUGCUCACUCUCCCCUGGAAGGAGAAAUCUGUGGCUGAACAUCAGAGGCAAAGAAGCGGCUGCCCUGUCCAUGUUCCACGUGUCUGUGCCGCUCCCAGGGACAACAGGUGGGUUCUUGAGCUGCAUCCUGGCCCUUGUGCUGCCCCUGGCCUAUGGUUUCCAGCCUGACCUGGUGCUGGUGGCGCUGGGACCAGCCCAUGGCCUCCAGGACCCCCAAGCUGCACUCCUGGCUGCGCUCCUACGGGGACCAGCGGGGGGCCGAGUCUUGGUCCUAGUGGAGCAGGUGAGUUGGGCAGGGUGGACAUGCUGUGGGUGGGAGGUGGGGAGACCAGUGACUUGCUGCUUCCACCUCUACUCCUGGCCCAGGAAUCCACAUCCCAGCUUGCGGGGGUCCUGGCCCGGGUGUUGCAUGGAGAGGCACCCCCCAGCCUGGGUCCCUUCUCCAUGGCUUCCCCCGAGGACCUGCAGGCCCUGAUACACUUGAGAGGGCAGCUGGAAGCACAGUGGAAGAUGCUGCAGGUGGCCGCUCCUUCUUGAGUUCUGUGACCUGGUAGCUUGAACUCAGCCAGGGUGGAAGUCUUUGCACACCAGAAAUGACAAUACAUGCUAGUCCCCCAAGAGCCAUAAUUAAACAUUCGCCAGUACCCCACUGCCUGAGGCCUUUGUGCAGAGGGCUGGGCUAUGGAGUUGUCCAGGGCACUGGCUCAGGGGCACUCUGUCCACGGCAGUGACCUGGAGCCCCCAUCCAGUGGCCCACCUCUUCACGGAUGGCCCCAUCCUCAUUUCUCACACUUCUGUUAACCUUAAAAAUAAAAGUUAUUUUACCAGCAAAAA
Molecule: non-coding RNA, 3367 nt
Organism: Leptonychotes weddellii (Weddell seal)
Lineage: Eukaryota; Metazoa; Chordata; Mammalia; Carnivora; Phocidae
Source: RefSeq, a predicted model, not a curated record